UACGUAGGGUGCAGGCGUUAAUCGGAAUUACUGGGCGUAAAGCGUGCGCAGGCGGUUUCUUAAGUCAGAUGUGAAAGCCCCGGGCUUAACCUGGGAACUGCGUUUGAAACUGGGAGACUAGAGUGUGGCAGAGGGGGGUGGAAUUCCACGUGUAGCAGUGAAAUGCGUAGAUAUGUGGAGGAACACCGAUGGCGAAGGCAGCCCCCUGGGCCUGCACUGACGCUCAUGCACGAAAGCGUGGGGAGCAAACAGG
RNAcentral lists this ribosomal RNA (253 nucleotides) under uncultured bacterium. Its description in RNAcentral is "partial 16S ribosomal RNA". It matches the Rfam family "Bacterial small subunit ribosomal RNA", at positions 524 to 776 of the family's 1533-position model. The record is from RNAcentral.